RNAcentral lists this long non-coding RNA (541 nucleotides) under Equus asinus (donkey). RNAcentral's name for it is "lncRNA (ENSEASG00005024865.1)". The record is from RNAcentral. Lineage: Eukaryota; Metazoa; Chordata; Mammalia; Perissodactyla; Equidae.
CACCCAGAUGCUGUCAGCCCAGAUCAGCUGAACCACAGCUAACACGCAGAUAUGUCAAUCACUUGACAAGGCCUCUUGCUGGCAACCUUGGUGAUGGAUUUUGCAUGCUUAGGGGCUGUGAAGAACAAAACAAUAAGAGCUUUAAUUAAGCAGAAGAGAAAAUGAUGCAAUCAAGAGAUGUGGUAAACACGAGAUGGAUGAGGCUGCUGCUGGCCGUAACAUGACAUCCUGUUUUAUGUGCACCGAAACCAGAAAUCAACAGAACAAAAAUGGAGAAAUUAAAGAACAAGUGGAAAUUAAACAACACACCCUUAUACAAUCCUUCAGUCAAAGAAGAAAUCAAAAAGGAAAUUAGAUAAUAUCUUUAAAGAAAUGAAAAUGAAAACACAACUUGCCAAAACUUAUCGGAUGCAGCAAAAGCAGCACUGAGAGAUAAGUUUAUAGUGUUAAAUGCCUAUGUUAAAAAAGAGAGAUUUCAAAUAAGCAACCUAACUUUAUACCUCAAGAAAGUAGAUAAUAAUAUACUAUGGUAAAAAUUAAA